RNAcentral lists this ribosomal RNA (487 nucleotides) under uncultured bacterium. RNAcentral's name for it is "bacterial SSU rRNA". It matches the Rfam family "Bacterial small subunit ribosomal RNA", at positions 28 to 507 of the family's 1533-position model. The record is from RNAcentral.
GAUGAACGCUAGCGGCAGGCCUAACACAUGCAAGUCGAGGGGCAGCACGGAUUGCUUGCAAUCUGGUGGCGACCGGCGCACGGGUGCGUAACGCGUAUACAACCUACCUUUUGGAGGGGAAUAGCCCAGAGAAAUUUGGAUUAAUACCCCAUAGUAUAUAGGAAUCUCCUGAUUUUUAUAUUAAACAUUUAUGGCCAUUAGAUGGGUAUGCGUCCUAUUAGCUAGUUGGUGUGGUAACGGCACACCAAGGCUACGAUAGGUAGGGGUCCUGAGAGGGAGAUCCCCACACUGGUACUGAGACACGGACCAGACUCCUACGGGAGGCAGCAGUGAGGAAUAUUGGACAAUGGGCGAGAGCCUGAUCCAGCCAUGCCGCGUGCAGGAAGACUGCCCUAUGGGUUGUAAACUGCUUUUACAGAGGAAGAACCCACCCCCACGUGGUGGGGGUUUGACGGUACUCUGCGAAUAAGGAUCGGCUAACUCCGUG